This 253-nucleotide ribosomal RNA is filed under the name uncultured bacterium. RNAcentral describes it as "partial 16S ribosomal RNA". It matches the Rfam family "Bacterial small subunit ribosomal RNA", at positions 524 to 776 of the family's 1533-position model. The record is from RNAcentral.
UACGUAGGGUGCGAGCGUUGUCCGGAAUUAUUGGGCGUAAAGAGCUUGUAGGCGGUUUGUCGCGUCUGCUGUGAAAUUCCAGGGCUUAACCCUGGGCUUGCAGUGGGUACGGGCAGACUAGAGUGUGGUAGGGGAGACUGGAAUUCCUGGUGUAGCGGUGAAAUGCGCAGAUAUCAGGAGGAACACCGAUGGCGAAGGCAGGUCUCUGGGCCACUACUGACGCUGAGAAGCGAAAGCAUGGGGAGCGAACAGG